Molecule: ribosomal RNA, 383 nt
Filed under: uncultured eukaryote
Lineage: Eukaryota
Description: partial 18S ribosomal RNA
Rfam family: Eukaryotic small subunit ribosomal RNA
Source: RNAcentral
CAAUAGCGUAUAUUAAAGUUGUUGCAGUUAAAAAGCUCGUAGUUGGAUUUCUGGUGGGAGCGAUCGGUCUGGCGCUUAGCGCGAGUACUUGCAUCGUCUCCGGCCAUCCUUGGGGAGAGUCUGUCUGGCAUUAAGUUGUCGGGCAGAGGAUCCUCAUCGUUUACUGUGAAAAAAUUAGAGUGUUCAAAGCAGGCUUAUGCCGUUGAAUAUAUUAGCAUGGAAUAAUAAGAUAGGACUUUGGUACUAUUUUGUUGGUUUGCGCACCGAAGUAAUGAUUAAUAGGGACAGUUGGGGGUAUUCGUAUUCCGUUGUCAGAGGUGAAAUUCUUGGAUUUACGGAAGACGAACUACUGCGAAAGCAUUUACCAAGGAUGUUUUCAUUAA